Non-coding RNA from Camelina sativa (false flax), 5144 nucleotides. The record is from RefSeq and is a predicted model, not a curated record. Lineage: Eukaryota; Viridiplantae; Streptophyta; Magnoliopsida; Brassicales; Brassicaceae.
UCCAUGUUUUUCUAAUUUAUUCGCACAAUUAUUUUCUUCACGACAUUCAAAAUUAAAUCAGACAUCUUAGUUUAAAAAACGAGACACAAUUCUACGUUGUCGCAGUGUAUGAUGUGGCUAUUUUCUACAUCCUCCUUCUGUUUUUUUUUCUAGUUAUUUAACAAAAUUAAAGACAUGUUAUUCUGAUUCUCGCAUGUCUUUGUUCAGUUUGAAAUAUUAAAAUUUUGGUAUUUUUAUCAUUUUAUGUCAACUAAAAUUUAUUUAUUUUCUUUACAAUAUUGUCUUUUGAUGCAUUAAGCUUUUCAGAGAUAGGAAAAUGUUUCCCUACAUCAUGUUUAUUUUCUUCCAGAGCUAAUUCCAAAACUAAUAUGUUAGUUUGUCAUGGUAGUAGACUAGUAGCUAGAGUCGGUCCAGAAAAGAAGCAGACUAAUAAUGAGCUUGCGGUUCUUAUUUUUAUGAGAUAUUUUGGAAUGUAAACGUUUUUCAAACAUAUAAUUUGUUAACUAUGUAUUUAUUAUAGAAAUUUCAAAAUUUUAAUAUGUAGGUAAUUUUCUCUUUCCUCCUCUAAUACAACAUGGAGGCUCGAUAAAUUACAAUAUCAGAUCAAAAGAAAAGGAAAAAAAAAUUUUGAAAUCGAAAGAAACAAAAAUGAAGAAACAAAGCUAAAUCAAACCGGAGAAAAAGUCGGACGAAUCACAGCGAAAGAAACAUAGGUGGACUCAUCAAAGAUAGAGCCAAAUAGUCUCCCUGUCGAAGCUGAGAGAUCGUCAAAACAGAGCCUAUCAAACGUAUUAAGGAAGUUACCAGUGCUGGAGCCAUAGCUAGCUACUAUUGGUAAGGAAGAGAGGAAGCACCACUAGAGGUCUAAACUGAAAGGCUUAAAGGGAGAGAAAUCUAUGAACCCUCUCACAAUUCCGGUGAAAAGCGCUGAAAUCGAAGAUGUUAAGCAGAAAAAAACUUUUGAGGUGGUGAAGUGUACAUGUUUAUGGCAGCGAUUGAAGGCGAUUCUAGGGUUUUGGUUGGGAAAGAUCAUGACGCCACGAUGGUGGACAUUGGGGGGAGGGUUAGACCGCUAGGUGAUCCACCUGUUGUGCCUCGUUCGUGGGUGCAGAAGGUAGUUGGUAAUAAUGGACGAUGAUGCCAAUUCCGGAAGAUGUCAUGGAUGAUGUGUUUGUGUCAGAGAGGUUGCGGUUGGAGUUUUCGAAUGGGGAUGAUGGGGAACCAGUCAUUACGAUAGGUGACAAGAUUUUGACAACGAUGUAUGGGUUAUAGAAGAAAUGUAUGUUUGUCAAGGUGUUAGGGUGGCACAUCUCACUCCCUGUUCUGAACCGAAAACUUUGAGAGAUGUGUAAACCUAGUGGAGCAAUGUUUGUUAUGGAUCUCCCCCAUCAAUUCUUUAAGUGUAUGGUUUGAGAAGGAGGAGGAGUAUCUGGCAGCGCUUACAGGGGAUCCAUGGAGAGUGUUUGGUAACUACCUCAUUGUCCAAGCUUGGACCCUGGAAUUUGGUCCUUUGAAGCACGAGAUUGUUACGAUUCCGGUGUGGGUCCAUCUCGUGAACCUCCAUGUGCACCUUUAUCAGAAAUCGAUUUGGGAAUUUUAAAGGGUUUGGGGAAGCCACUUAAGGUGGAUUUCACCACGUUACACUUCGAGAGAGCACAUUUUGCUCGAGUGUGUGUUGAGGUAAAUCUGCAGCUGCCGCUCAAAAGGUCAAUGUUGAUCAACGGGCAACAUUAUUUUGUAGCAUAUGAGGGUUUAACGAACAUUUGCUCUGCUUGUGGCAUGUAUAGAAAUUUAGUGCAUAAUUGCCUGCAAGUCGUUAGGGAGAAGGCCCCUCUUGUGUAUGUUCUAGCUACGGUUGCUACUCUAACUGCAGGUCGAGUGUCUCCAGGAUUGGAGGAUGGUUUCACUGUGGUAAGAAACAUGGGAAGAAGAGUACACUCUUUAGCUCAACCUUCUUUUCUGGCGGCAGGAGCAGUGAGAAAUACCGGAGGUAAUCCUAACCGGGAUACUUCGAUGAUCGGAGAUCCUGCAUUAAUUGAGGUUUCAAAUAGUUUGGGAAAUUUGGAGGUGGAUUUGGUAACUGAUACGGUAAGGCAAGUUGGGGAUUCGAUAGUGGGGAGUAAGGAAAGUGAGAAUAUUCAAAAUUGAGUAGGGAAUAAGGAAAGUGAUAAUAUUCAGAAUCGAGGGAUCUCAGGGAAGAGUGCUGCCCAAGGGAAGCCGUUGGUGUUUGGUGCUUUGUUGGAAGUAAAGAAUGAUAGUGGUCAUGAAGGACAUGCUCAUCGAAGGCCUAUUAAGCAUAAGGCCUCAACGAUUAACGGGCCGAAGCCCAACUCUUCUAAAUUUUCUCAGCCUACUCGUGGUUUAGUGUUUAGCCCGAUUGGGGGGGAAAUCAGAAGUUUCGGUGAAUCGGAAACAACUGAGGGUUGAUGAUGGUGGUGUCGGGAGAGCCGGUGUCCCUUUUCCGGUGGAGAGAGCAGAUAAACCGGUCUUGAUGGGAUUGGGAUUGGGUAAUUUGGAGAAGAAUGAGAAUGUACGUUUGGGUUUGGGAAAGCUGCCUUUAUCUACGGGAAUUGAUUCUUUUAAUGGAUUGUUAGAGAAUGGGAAGGAGAAUCGUUCCGAUUAGCGGUUCUUCCCGGUAGUUCUAGUUAUUUUAACAGAAGGGUUGAUGAGUUGCAUUCUUAAGUUCAAGGGAUAUGUCAGUCGAUGCUCGCAUCAUGGAUUCAGCAAUGCUUCUUUACUAAGCACCCUCUACCGCGGUGUAGUCUUUAAGAUACAGAUGUUGCUGGACACCGCCAACAAUGGGAGCUUAGUCAAUAAGGAUGUUGACGAAGGUUGGGCACUCGUGGAGAAUUUGGCCCAAUUUGACGGGCAUUAUAACGAAGACUAUGAUCGCACCAUCCACUCUUCCGGUGAGUACGAUGCGAAGUACAAGAGGGACAUGAAAGACCUUAAUGACAAGUUGGACAAACUCCUUCUAAGCCAACAACAACACGUCAACUCUGUUUCCGAGGAAUAAUAGUUUCCGAAACAGGAUGGGGAGAGUAUUCAGCUUGAGGAUGUAAACUACAUCAACAACCAAGGAGGUUACAACAAGGGAUACAACAACUACAAACCGAACCAAAAUUUCUCCUACCGUAACCCGAAUGUUACCCAUCUGUAGUUCAAGGGAACCAAGACCCGUCGAAGCUUUUUGUACAAUACAAUCAAAGUUAUGCUCCAAAGCAACACUACUCCGGUGAUUAUCACCAGCCAAUGGCACCACAUGGCUUUCCCUUACAACAGGGACCACCAAACCCGCCUCAAGAGGCUGACCUACAAGGUUUGAUCCAAGGCCAGGCAUCGACAAUGCCAAACGGUUUGCAGGGAUGAGCAACAAGAUAGUUUAUGGGUAUAACGACCUCAAUGCUAAGUAUGACUCUGUGAAUACAAAGUUGAGGUAUCUGUAAGGCCAAACCGUCAUGCAACCAGCUCUGAAGCCUGGCCAACUACCAGGUAAAUCUGUUUAGAACCUAAAGGACUAUGCAACCGCACAUGCCAUCUGGAUUCAUGAUGUAGCUGACUACUUCACCAAGGACAGUGACGAUCAUGAUGUGGAAGAUAUGGAUCACAGUCAGAUCUAUGAGCAACAAUACUGCUUAUCCGAGUAUCAAAUCGAUAAGCCACACGAUCACCCCGAUCGAGCUGACGAUCGACUACCAACUCGUGAAUUACUGACUGACGCAUCACUCGACGCUGAGCCCGAAGCCUUACCUGAUGAUCAUGAUCGGAUAGACCAUCGAGCAAACAUUCAUAUGACAGAUCGAUCACAACCUCCUGCAACCGAGGAAGGUGAAUUGGAGAAAAUAUUCAGAGCAGCACUUGACAUUCAAUUAGAACCACUUGCAGAGCGUAUAUCUAACCGGGAAGCCCCCGCUCCUAAGUUCUUGCCGCCACAUGCUCUUAGAGAGGAAAAUUUCAAAGAGACAGCUCAGUGGGAGAUAGCAGCAAAGGAAGCCGUUAGGGAAAUUGGGAAUGCAAUCCUAAAGAGUUGAGUAUGUUUAGAUACAGAUCUGAAGAUCCAAGAGAAACUAGAGGACCCUGGCUCUUUCACACUUCCAUGUUCACUAGGUCUUCGAAUUUUCACCAGUUGCUUGUGUGAUUUAGGAGCUUCAGUUAGUGUCAUGCCUAUUUCAGUUGCCAAAAAGAUGGGUUUCAGUAGUUUUAAACUCAGUAGCCUCUACCUUGUCCUAGCUAAUAGAACUAUUAGGCACCCGUAUGGGGUUCUGGAGAAUUUACCUCUCAGGGUUGGAAGAGUGGAAAUCCCCACCGAUUUCGUAGUCCUAGACAUGGAUGAGGAACCAGAAGAUCCACUGAACCUUGGAAGGCCAUUCUUGGCAACAGUUGGUGCGAUAAUCGAUGUGAAAAAGGGACAAAUAAACAUUGAACAUGGAGAGCACUUCAAGAUGAAAUUUAACACCAAAAGCAGAAAUAAAGAAAGGCUAACUAUCAAUGGUGAGGUCUUCUCCAUUCAAGUGCUACGAGCACGAGCUGUCUUCGCUGUAGAACCAGGAAAAGAAUCACUGAACAUGUCUGUUGCAUUGGAGAGGAUCCUUAAACCUAUCUAUUCCAAAUACAAUGCUUGAAAAGAAUGAAAAGUCAAGCUAAGUGACUUUAAACAAGCUCACUUAGGAGGAAGUAUCAAAGAACCCGAGGUGGAACCUGAAUACGUACUCGAGGCGCCUAAUUGUGUUUAUGCUCGAGUGGCGAGUGAAGUCCGAAUUCCCCAAACCUCUUAUCCCACUCUUGGAGAAACCCUAGCAGCUAGAUCCUCUAUUUAAAGGAAUUCAAACCUCUCCUCUCCUGCAUCACAAAAUUGAUAAGUCAGCUCUCAACCCUAAAACUCUUUAGCUUCCAAGUUUCUAUUUUCUUUCUAAGGGUCGAGUUUUCUUAGAUUUUUGGGGAACUAACCCUAUUAAUCUCGAGUUUUAGUGUUCUUUUCUUUUUUCAAGGAUUCAUCUAUGGCUCCCAAGAUCAAAACCUACAAGAACAAGGGCACCUCAUCUACCUCCGCCGCUGCCAAAACCAGAGAAGGAGGUGACCCUGCAAUGCGAGGAUGACACGGUUUGACCUAGGAACAUCGGUCGAUGCCGUGUGGAGGUGUCGGU